CAGGAGUUCAAGACGGACUACAACCAGACCCACUUCAUCCGCAACCCCGAGUUCAAGGAGGCCGCUGACAAGAUGCAGGGCCCGCUCCGCCAGAUCUUCGUCGAGUUCCUCGAGCGCUCCUGCACCGCCGAGUUCUCCGGGUUCCUCCUCUACAAGGAGCUCGGUCGCAGGCUCAAGGUUCGUGUACCUCUUCUUCUUCUCUGCUUUUUUGCAUGUAGGCAUUUCGUCGAGCAGCUGGUGGGUAUGCGCUGAUGCCGCGUUUCCUUUUCAGAAAACUAACCCCGUGGUGGCUGAGAUCUUCUCGCUCAUGUCCAGGGACGAGGCCCGGCACGCUGGGUAUGUACUUGCGAUCUUAUUCCCAUCAAUACAAUACAAUACAAUUUGAUAGGGCGUAACCAGAAGCCAAAUUUCAAAUGCACUGACUAUGACCAGAAAUGCCUUCUUCUCUCAUGUAAAAAGUUUAAGCUAUUAACUACUGUAAAAUUUCAAAUGCACUAUGACUCAGUUCCGCAAGAAUUAAAUUAUUAACUACUGUAGUUUAGCUCUCGACAUGAUUCGUGUUAUUCAUACAAAUAACAUGAUUCGUGCUGUGUAGGUUCUUGAACAAGGGGCUAUCCGACUUCAACCUGGCUCUGGACCUCGGGUUCUUGACCAAGGCUAGGAAGUACACCUUCUUCAAGCCAAAGUUCAUCUUCUACGCCACGUACCUGUCCGAGAAGAUCGGCUACUGGAGGUACAUCACCAUCUUCAGGCACCUCAAGGCCAACCCGGAGUACCAGGUGUACCCCAUCUUCAAGUACUUCGAGAACUGGUGCCAGGACGAGAACCGGCACGGUGAUUUCUUCUCUGCGCUGCUAAAGGCGCAGCCGCAGUUC
Molecule: long non-coding RNA, 875 nt
Filed under: Hordeum vulgare
Lineage: Eukaryota; Viridiplantae; Streptophyta; Magnoliopsida; Poales; Poaceae
Description: long non-coding RNA (HVUL_LNC007191)
Source: RNAcentral